AGUGAGCGCUGGCGGUAGGCCUAACACAUGCAAGUCGAACGGCAGCACAGUAAGAGCUUGCUCUUACGGGUGGCGAGUGGCGGACGGGUGAGGAAUACAUCGGAAUCUACUUUUUCGUGGGGGAUAACGUAGGGAAACUUACGCUAAUACCGCAUACGACCUACGGGUGAAAGCAGGGGAUCUUCGGACCUUGCGCGAUUGAAUGAGCCGAUGUCGGAUUAGCUAGUUGGCGGGGUAAAGGCCCACCAAGGCGACGAUCCGUAGCUGGUCUGAGAGGAUGAUCAGCCACACUGGAACUGAGACACGGUCCAGACUCCUACGGGAGGCAGCAGUGGGGAAUAUUGGACAAUGGGCGCAAGCCUGAUCCAGCCAUACCGCGUGGGUGAAGAAGGCCUUCGGGUUGUAAAGCCCUUUUGUUGGGAAAGAAAAGCAGCAGGUUAAUACCCCGCUGUUCUGACGGUACCCAAAGAAUAAGCACCGGCUAACUUC
RNAcentral lists this ribosomal RNA (489 nucleotides) under uncultured bacterium. RNAcentral describes it as "partial 16S ribosomal RNA". It matches the Rfam family "Bacterial small subunit ribosomal RNA", at positions 29 to 504 of the family's 1533-position model. The record is from RNAcentral.